This 417-nucleotide ribosomal RNA is filed under the name uncultured eukaryote. RNAcentral describes it as "bacterial SSU rRNA". It matches the Rfam family "Eukaryotic small subunit ribosomal RNA", at positions 592 to 1016 of the family's 1831-position model. The record is from RNAcentral.
CAAUAGCGUAUGCUUAAUUUGUUGCAGUUGAAAGCUCGUAGUUGGAUUUCUGUUGAAAGCUGCCGAUCCGCUCUAUGAGUGAGUAUUGGUGAGUUUUCAGCAUACUUCUGGGGAACGUGGCGGCACUUAACUGUGUGGCGCGGUAUCCAGAACCUUUACUUUGAGAAAAUUAGAGUGUUUCAAGCAGGCUAUUGCCAUGAAUACUGCAGCAUGGAAUAAUAAGAUAAGACUUCGGUUUCAUUUUGUUGGUUCUAGAACUGAAGUAAUGAUUAAUAGGGACAGUUGGGGGCAUUCGUAUUUGACUGUCAGAGGUGAAAUUCUUAAAUUUGUCAAAGACGGACUACUGCGAAAGCAUUUGCCAAGGAUGUUUUCAUUAAUCAAGAACGAAAGUUAGGGGAUCGAAGACGAUCAGAUACC